UACGUAGGUGGCAAGCGUUGUCCGGAAUUAUUGGGCGUAAAGCGCGCGCAGGCGGUUCUUUUAAGUCUGAUGUGAAAAGCCCACGGCUCAACCGUGGAGGGUCAUUGGAAACUGGAGAACUUGAGUACAGAAGAGGAAAGCGGAAUUCCACGUGUAGCGGUGAAAUGCGUAGAUAUCGGAAGGAACACCAGUGGCGAAAGCGGCUUCCUGGUCCAGCACCGACGUCAGGCACGGAAAGCGUGGGGAGCAAACAGG
This 255-nucleotide ribosomal RNA is filed under the name uncultured bacterium. RNAcentral describes it as "partial 16S ribosomal RNA". It matches the Rfam family "Bacterial small subunit ribosomal RNA", at positions 524 to 776 of the family's 1533-position model. The record is from RNAcentral.